GACGAACGCUGGCGGCGUGCCUAACACACGCAAGUCGAGCGGGGAUUUAAGUGGAAGUUCUUCGGAAUGGAGAUUUAAAUUCUAGCGGCGGACGGGUGAGUAACGCGUGAACAAUCUGUCCCGGACAGGGGGAUAACACUUGGAAACAGGUGCUAAUACCGCAUAAGACCACGGCCUCGCAUGGGGCUGAGGUAAAAGGAGCAAUCCGGUUCGGGGUGAGUUCGCGUCCGAUUAGCUAGUUGGUGAGGUAACGGCCCACCAAGGCGACGAUCGGUAGCCGGCCUGAGAGGGUGAACGGCCAAAUUGGAACUGAGAGACGGUCCAAACUCCUACGGGAGGCAGCAGUGGGGAAUAUUGGGGAAUGGGCGAAAGCCUGACCCAGCAACGCCGCGUGAGGGAAGAAGGUUUUCGGAUUGUAAACCUCUGUCCUAUGGGACGAAGGAAGUGACGGUACCAUAGGAGGAAGCCCCGGCUAACUACGUG
This 483-nucleotide ribosomal RNA is filed under the name uncultured bacterium. RNAcentral describes it as "partial 16S ribosomal RNA". It matches the Rfam family "Bacterial small subunit ribosomal RNA", at positions 28 to 507 of the family's 1533-position model. The record is from RNAcentral.